GGAUGUGAUGAGUUUGAAUUGUCGCCCCAGUCCUAUGUAAGUGCUUAGGCGCUUCAUGAGGAUUGACUUGUUAUCAAUUCUGAUCC
RNAcentral lists this small nucleolar RNA (86 nucleotides) under Marchantia polymorpha subsp. ruderalis. Its description in RNAcentral is "Small nucleolar RNA U31b". It matches the Rfam family "Small nucleolar RNA U31b". Lineage: Eukaryota; Viridiplantae; Streptophyta; Marchantiopsida; Marchantiales; Marchantiaceae. The record is from Rfam by way of RNAcentral.